UACGUAGGUGGCAAGCGUUGUCCGGAAUGACUGGGCGUAAAGGGAGCGUAGGCGGCGCAGUAAGUUAGGAGUGAAAGCCCGGGGCUCAACUCCGGGACUGCUUUUGAAACUGUGUGACUGGAGUGCAGGAGAGGUAAGCGGAAUUCCUGGUGUAGCGGUGAAAUGCGUAGAUAUCAGGAGGAACACCAGUGGCGAAGGCGGCUUACUGGACUGUAACUGACGUUGAGGCUCGAAAGCGUGGGGAGCAAACAGG
Molecule: ribosomal RNA, 253 nt
Filed under: uncultured Lachnospiraceae bacterium
Lineage: Bacteria; Bacillati; Bacillota; Clostridia; Lachnospirales; Lachnospiraceae
Description: partial 16S ribosomal RNA
Rfam family: Bacterial small subunit ribosomal RNA
Source: RNAcentral